UAACAGCUUCGAUGCGGGACAUGGCGUCC
This 29-nucleotide small RNA is filed under the name Bombyx mori (domestic silkworm). Its description in RNAcentral is "ovarian small RNA-18610". Lineage: Eukaryota; Metazoa; Arthropoda; Insecta; Lepidoptera; Bombycidae. The record is from RNAcentral.